This 541-nucleotide ribosomal RNA is filed under the name uncultured bacterium. RNAcentral's name for it is "bacterial LSU rRNA". It matches the Rfam family "Bacterial large subunit ribosomal RNA", at positions 452 to 992 of the family's 2925-position model. The record is from RNAcentral.
ACCACCCCCGAAGGCUAAGUACUCCUUGCUGACCGAUAGCGAACCAGUACCGUGAGGGAAAGGUGAAAAGCACCCCGACGAGGGGAGUGAAACAGUACCUGAAACCGGACGCCUACAAGCAGUCGGAGGGGCCUUGAGCCCUGACGGCGUACCUUUUGUAUAAUGGGUCAACGACUUGGUCUUACGAGCGAGCUUAAGCCGAUAGGUGUAGGCGCAGCGAAAGCGAGUCUUAAAAGGGCGCAUGAGUUCGUGGGAUCAGACCCGAAACCAGGUGAUCUAGCCAUGAGCAGGAUGAAGGUUGGGUAACACCAACUGGAGGUCCGAACCAACACCCGUUGAAAAGGGUCUGGAUGACUUGUGGCUAGGGGUGAAAGGCUAAUCAAAACCUGGAGAUAGCUGGUUCUCCGCGAAAGCUAUUUAGGUAGCGCCUCGGACGAAUACCAUCGGGGGUAGAGCACUGCAUGGAUGAUGGGGGCCCACAGCCUUACUGAGUCUAAGCAAACUCCGAAUACCGAUGAGUACUAUCCGGGAGACACACGGC